GCCCGCCUAGCUCAAUCGGAUAGAGCGUCAGACUCUUAUGGUGGGUGCAUGGUCGCAUCACGACCCGAAUCUGAAGGCUGCGAGUUCGACCCUCGCGGUGGGCU
Molecule: non-coding RNA, 104 nt
Organism: Russula aff. rugulosa BPL654
Lineage: Eukaryota; Fungi; Basidiomycota; Agaricomycetes; Russulales; Russulaceae
Source: the annotation of a GenBank genome assembly